GGCCUCGUGGUAAAAAGGUUAAUACAACGCCCUUUCACGGCGUAGUUAUGGGUUCGAUUCCCGUCGAGGUCACCA
Molecule: transfer RNA, 75 nt
Filed under: Clostridiales bacterium
Lineage: Bacteria; Bacillati; Bacillota; Clostridia; Eubacteriales
Also listed under: 2 other names
Description: tRNA-Glu
Rfam family: tRNA
About the family: Transfer RNA (tRNA) molecules are approximately 80 nucleotides in length. Their secondary structure includes four short double-helical elements and three loops (D, anti-codon, and T loops).
Source: RNAcentral